UCUACCAAAGAUCGCCCUCCGUCAGCGCGUUGCGCCCACGGGGGUAUUUGGG
RNAcentral lists this small RNA (52 nucleotides) under Nereida ignava. RNAcentral describes it as "ffh sRNA". It matches the Rfam family "ffh sRNA". Lineage: Bacteria; Pseudomonadati; Pseudomonadota; Alphaproteobacteria; Rhodobacterales; Roseobacteraceae. The record is from Rfam by way of RNAcentral. RNAcentral also lists the same sequence under 1 other name.